This 343-nucleotide unclassified non-coding RNA is filed under the name Homarus americanus (American lobster). RNAcentral's name for it is "uncharacterized LOC121863320, transcript variant X1". The record is from RNAcentral. Lineage: Eukaryota; Metazoa; Arthropoda; Malacostraca; Decapoda; Nephropidae.
CUAUAUAACGUGCGGCCCACGCCACCUCAGUACCAGUCUGCUCCCACCUACCGCUCCAGCAUCCUGCUUCAGCUGCGCCUCAGUUUCGACCCCGUCCAUCAGUUCCAAAGAACUUGACAUACAGGAUGUUUCUGAGAGUGAGCGCGUGGGCGGCAGUAGUGGGUGUGUGGACGACCGUCGCUCUUGCUGCUGUUGUGUUGCCGGAAUAUGAAAGUGACGCGGUGAGUGAGAGGCAGGAAGGGCUGGACCAGCUGGCAUCGUCUCUGUGUGAGCUGAUGCCUGACCUGCCGGGCUGCCAAGCUCUCAACGACACCCUCUCCUUUGGCGAAGGAAGUGGUGAUGU